AUGGAGACACUACCCAGAUCUUUUUCAGCAUCAGGACAAGCAAGCAGCUUAGAGCUCCUGCAAGACUCCUGGAGACAUCAGAACUCUCCAUCCUGUGGCCCAGCAGAGGUCUGUGGUUUUUACUGCUAAUGGAAAUUGAACUGACAGAUCAAAGGCAAUGUCUCCUACAGCCCAGAUUGCCAGCAGCCAGCACUAUCAGAAUAUCGGUUGAAUUGGUAAUUCAAAAUUAAGUGGAUUAAUGAUUGACGUCAAUUUGUAAAACCUGGCCUACCAACUCACCUCCUGCAAACAGGGCCUUUCUUAUUCUGGGUCAGCUGGGAGCAUGGAGCUUCCCAGAUGGGAGUUGGUUGAGCUCUAGCCAUACGCUGCCCGCCCCAUCCCAACCCUGAUUUUAAAGGGCCCCUGUUCUUAAAACUACACCAUUCCUGUUAGAUGUCUUAGAAAAGUCUUAGCACCUGAGAUCACUUUUAAAGAAAUAAACUCACGAAUUUAAGCCAAAAGGGAAAAGCCUGGUACAAUUUUGCACCUGUAACACAUGAGUCACUUGAUUAAAGAAAUACUCAAAUAUCAAGUUUGUGAUUCUCUCUGUGUGGGCAGGAAAGUGGGGGGCAUGUGGAGGGUGAAAAAUGCCUCAGCUGCACUAACUUACAAAUCCUAAUCAAUGUCUAAAUAUUCUGGGGCUGUCCACGUUUUGGAAAACGACUUUUCCCCUGUGAGUACUUUAUUUGAUGGUCAGAGGGAGACUGAAGAAGGGAACAGCUGCCGGAGGAUUUCAAAGCCUUCUCCAGGCAACACAAGAUUACUCACCUCCCACCUCGACACCACCGCUACCCAGUACAAAUCUCUGAAAGCAUCUGCAGGUUCUGCAGCACUUGAAAUUGGGACAUAGCUCAUGAGUUCUUCAGCACUUGGUGGGGUCUUCAGGGGACAUUGCUGUGAGCAUCUCAUCUGCUACCUGCCCCUCCCUGCUCACAGGCACAGCCAGCCUGAAGCAGAGAUGCCCUUCUACAAAAUCACAGAAGGGGACAAAAGCAGGAGCCCAAGGAUCUCCAGAGAGAGUGAGCUGCCAGCUGGUGACCAGUAACUGGAAGGCAUCAUGAGCAGGAACCCAGGUUCCUCAGGAGGCCAUGGGCUACCAGCUGGUAGUCAUGACUCCCAGAGUAGAGAGACAGGAGCUUGUGGUUCCCGCUUCCUCCCAGUGAUUGCCUGGAUAUGAUGGACCAUGGUGGGAUCACAACGCAAACUUGAGACUAUGAUGUUAACCCGGUGGUGCCAGCCAGGAUGGGAGUUCUCCAGGCUUGAACAGAGCUGGUGAGGGCCUUAAAAUCAAUUGAGUGUCUUGUUUUCUACUGGAUCCACAAGCCAGUAAGAACUGUGUACAUAUUUACUGUUUUUAUUGCUAGCGGUCAAUGAU
This 1414-nucleotide long non-coding RNA is filed under the name Homo sapiens (human). Its description in RNAcentral is "HSALNT0168700". The record is from RNAcentral. Lineage: Eukaryota; Metazoa; Chordata; Mammalia; Primates; Hominidae.